RNAcentral lists this small nuclear RNA (322 nucleotides) under Nannospalax galili (Upper Galilee mountains blind mole rat). RNAcentral's name for it is "7SK RNA (ENSNGAG00000006082.1)". The stretch from base 1 to 271 matches the Rfam family "7SK RNA". From Rfam's summary of the family: 7SK was discovered as an abundant small nuclear RNA in the mid-70s but a possible function has only recently been suggested. The record is from RNAcentral. Lineage: Eukaryota; Metazoa; Chordata; Mammalia; Rodentia; Spalacidae.
AGAGGAGGGUAGUCUAAUUGUGACAUCUGUCACCACAAUGAUCACCAGGGGUGAUAUGGUUGAUCUGGGUAGGUGAGUGUCCCCUUCCUCCCUUACCAGUCCAUGUGCAGCCCUUCUGGAAGCUGUACAUCCAGUCAAAGAGGAUGCUCUCCCCGGACAGAGAAGGACCAGUCUUCAGUCACGGGUUUACAAGAAGCUAUGCUCCUCUGCUAACGAGCUAUCAGACUUCAAACAAGCUACCCUUCAAACAAGCUAUCAAGAAAUGAUCAAAGAAUUGGAUAGUAGUGUUGGGUGAUGCUGCCUGGCAAAUCUGUUGAUGUUC